RNAcentral lists this long non-coding RNA (9982 nucleotides) under Triticum aestivum (bread wheat). RNAcentral describes it as "long non-coding RNA (TAES_LNC019706)". Lineage: Eukaryota; Viridiplantae; Streptophyta; Magnoliopsida; Poales; Poaceae. The record is from RNAcentral.
UUACAUGAAAGAUCAAUCUAGUAGGCCAAACCAAACUGAUAAUUCGAAGAGACUUGCAAAGAUAACCAAUCAUACAUAAAAGAAUUCAGAGAAGAUUCAAAUAUUGUUCAUAGAUAAACUUGAUCAUAAACCCACAAUUCAUCGUUCUCAACAAACACACCAAAAAAGAAGAUUACAUUGAAUAGAUCUCCACAAGAGAGGGGGAGAACAUUGUAUUGAGAUCCAUAAAGAGAGAAGAAGCCAUCUAGCUAAUAACAAUGGAUCCGAAGGUCUGAGGUAAACUACUCACACAUCAUCGGAGAGGCUAUGGUGUUGAUGUAGAAGCCCUCCGUGAUCGAUGCCCCCUCCGGCGGAGCUCCGGAAAAGGCCCCAAGAUGGUAUCUCACGGGUACAGAAGGUUGCGGCGGUGGAAUUAGGUUUUUGGCUCCGUAUCUGGUAGUUUGUGGGUACGUAGGUAUAUAUAGGAAGAAGAAGUACGUCGGUGGAGCAACAUGGGGCCCACGAGGGUGGGGGCGCGCCCAGGGGGGUAGGCGCGCCCCCUACCUUGUGCCUUCCUGGUUGAUGUCUUGAUGUAGGGUCCAAGUCCUCUGGAUCACGUUCGUUCCAAAAAUCACGUUCCCGAAGGUUUCAUUCCGUUUGGACUCCGUUUGAUAUUCUUUUUCUGUGAAACUCUGAAAUAGGCAAAAAACAACAAUUCAGGGUUGGGCCACCAGUUAAUAUGUUAGUCCCAAAAAUAAUAUAAAAGUGUAUAAUAAAGCCCAUUAAUGUCCAAAACAGAAUAUAAUAUAGCAUGGAAAAUCAAAAUUUAUAGAUACGUUGGAGACGUAUCAAGCAUCCCCAAGCUUAAUUCCUGCUCGUCCUCGAGUAGGUAAAUGAUAAAAAUAGAAUUUUUGAUGUGGAAUGCUACUUAGCAUAAUUUCAAUGUAAUUCUCUUAAUUGUGGUAUGAAUAUUCAGAUCCGAAAUAUUCAAGACAAAAGUUUAAUAUUGACAUAAAAAUAAUAAUACUUCAAGCAUACUAACUAAGCAAUUAUGUCUUCUCAAAAUAACAUGGCCAAAGAAAGUUAUCCCUACAAAAUCAUAUAGUCUAGCUAUGCUCUAUCUUCACCACACAAAGUAUUUAAAUCAUGCACAACCCCGAUGACAAGCCAAGCAAUUUUUUCAUACUUUUGAUGUUGGCAAACUUUUUCAAUCUUCACGCAAUACAUGAGCGUGAGCCAUGGACAUAGCACUAUAUGUGGAAUAGAAUGGUGGUUGUGGAGAAGACAAAAAAAGAGAAGAUAGUCUCACAUCAACUAGGCGUAUCAACGGGCUAUGGAGAUGCCCAUUAAUAGAUAUCAAUGUGAGUGAGUAGGGAUUGCCAUGCAACGGAUGCACUAGAGCUACAAGUAUAUGAAAGCUCAACAAAAGAAACUAAGUGGGUGUGCAUCCAACUCGCUUGCUCACGAAGACCUAGAGCAUUUUGAGGAAGCCCAUCAUUGGAAUAUACAAGCCAAGUUCUAUAAUGAAAAUUUCCCACUAGUAUAUGAAAGUGAUAUCAUAGGAGACUCUCUAUCAUGAAGAUCAUGGUGCUACUUUGAAGCACAAGUGUGGUAAAAGUAUAGUAACAUUGUCCCUUCUCUCUUUUUCUCUCAUCAUUUUUUUAUUUGGGCCUUUUCUCUUUUUUUUAUGGCCUCUUUUUUUUAGUCCAGAGUCUCAUCCCGACUUGUGGGGGAAUCAUAGUUUCCAUCAUCCUUUCCUUACUUGGGACAAUGCUCUAAAAAAUAAUGAUCAUCACACUUUUAUUUACUUACAACUCAACAAUUACAACUCAAUACUUAGAACAAAAUAUGACUCUAUGUGAAUGCCUCCGACGGUGUACCAGGAUAUGCAAUGCAUCAAGAGUGACAUGUAUGAAAGAAUUAUGAACGGUGGCUUUGCCACAAAUACGAUGUCAACUACAUGAUCAUGCGAAGCAAUAUGACAAUGGUGGAGCGUGUCAUAGUAAACGAAACGGUGGUAAGUUGCAUGGCAAUAUAUCUCGGAAUGGCUAUGGAAAUGCCAUGAUAGGUAGUUAUGGUGGCUGUUUUGAGGAAGGUAUAUGGUGGGUGUAUGGUACCGGCGAAAAGGUGCGCGGCAUUAGAGAGGCUAGCAAUGGUGGAAGAAAGAAAAGUGUAUAAUCCAUUGACUCAACAUUAGUCAUAAAGAACUCAUAUACUUAUUGCAAAAAUCUACAAGUUAUCAAAGCAAAGUAUUACGCGCAUGCUCCUAGGGGGAUAGAUUGGUAGGAAAAGACCAUCGCUCGUCCCCGACCGCCACUCAUAAGGAAGACAACCAAUAAAUAAAUCAUGCUCCGACUUCAUCACAUAACGGUUCACCAUACGUGCAUGCUACGGGAAUCACAAACUUUAACACAAGUAUUUCUCAAAUUAACAACUACUCAACUAGCAUAACUCUAAUAUCAUCAUCUUCAUAUCUCAAAAGAAUUAUCAAGCAUCUAACUUCUCAUAGUAUUCAACACACUCAUAAGAAUUUUUUUAUUAAUCUUAAAUGCAUAUCAUAAUUAAAGCAAAUUACCAUGCUGUUUUGUAGGACUCUCACAAUAAUCAAAGUGAAGCAUGAGAGAACAAUAGUUUCUAUAAAACAAAUCCACCAAAGUGCUCUAAAAGAUAUAAGUGAAGCACUAGAGCAAAAACUAUAUAACUCAAAAGAUAUAAUGAAAAACACAUAGAGUAUUCUAACAAUUUCCGAAUUAUGUGUGUCUCUCUCAAAAGGUGUGUACAGCAAGGAUGAUUGUGGCAAACUAACAAAUAAAGACUCAAAUAAUACAAGACGCUGCAAGCAAAACACAUAUCAUGUGGUGAAUAAAAAUAUAGCUCCAAGUAAAGUUACCGAUAGAAGUAGACGAAAGAGGGGAUGCCUUCCGGGGCAUCCCCAAGCUUUGGCUUUUAGGUGUCCUUAGAUUAUCUUGGGGUGCCAUGGUCAUCCCCAAGCUUAGGAUCUUUCCACUCCUUGUUCCAUAAUCCAUCAAAUCUUUUACCCAAAACUUGAAAACUUCACAACACAAAACUUAAGAAAAUCUCGUGAGCUCCGUUAGCGAAAGAAAACAAAACACCACUUCAAGGUAAUGUAAUGAACUCAUUCUUUAUUUAAAUUGGUGUUAAACCUACUGUAUUACAACUUCUCUAUGGUUUAUAAACUAUUUUACUAGCCAUAGAUUCAUCAAAAUAAGCAAACAACACACAAAAAACAGAAUCUGUCAAAAACAGAACAGCCUAUAGUAAUCAGUAACAAACGCAAACUUCUGGAACUCCAAAAAUUCAGAAAAAAUAGGACAACCUAGAAAGUUUGUUUAUUGAUCAUCAGCAAUUGGAUUUAAUAUUUUAUCACGUUCUGGUGAUUUUUAACAAUUAUUUUCGUGAACAGAAAGUUUCUGGAAUUUUCAGCAAGAUCAAAUAACUAUCAUCCAAGAAGAUCCUAUAGGUUUAACUUGGCACACACUAAUUAAAACAUAAAAACACAUCUAACCAGAGGCUAGAUCAAAUAUUUAUUCCUAAACGGAAGCAAAAAGCAAAAAACUAAAAAAAAAAUUGGGUUGCCUCCCAACAAGCGCUAUCGUUUAACGCCCCUAGCUAGGCAUAAUAGCAAAGAUAGAUCUAGGUAUUGCCAUCUUUGGUAGGCAAUUCAUAAGUGGCUCUCAUAAUAGAUUCAUAAGUUAAUUUUAUUUUCUUUCUAGGGAAGUGUUCCAUGCCUUUCCUUAACGGAAACUGGAAUCUAAUAUUCCCUUCCUUCAUAUCAAUAAUUUCACCAAUCGUUUUAAGGAAAGGUCUACCAAGAAUAAUAGGACAUGAAGGAUUGCAAUCUAUAUCAAGAACAAUAAAAUCUACGGGCACAUAAUUCCUAUUUGCAAUAAUAAGAACAUCAUUAAUUCUUCCCAUAGGUUUUUUAAUGGUGGAAUUCGCAAGGUGCAAGUUUAAAGAGCAAUCAUCAAAAUCACGGAAACCUAGCAAAUCACACAAAGUUUUUGGAACCGUGGAAACACUAGCACCCAAAUCACACAAAGCAUAGCAUUCAUGAUCUUUAAUUUUAAUUUUAAUAGUAUGUUCCCACUCAUCAUAAAGUUUUCUAGGGAUAGAAACUUCCAACUCAAGUUUUUCUUCAUAAUAUUGCAUCAAAGCAUCAACGAUGUGUUUAGUAAAAGCUUUAUGUUGACUAUAAGCAUGUGGAGAAUUUAGCACGGAUUGCAACAAGGAAAUACAAUUUAUCAAAGAGCAAUUAUCAUAAUUAAAUUCCUUGAAAUCCAAAGUAGUGGGUUCAUUAAUAUCUAGAGUUUUGAUCUCUUCAAUCCCACUUUUACCAAUUUUUGCAUCAAGAUCUAAAAACUCCGAAUUUUUGGAACGCCUUCUAGGUAAAGGUGGAUCAUAUUCAAUCCCAUCAUUAUCAAGAUUCAUAUUGCAAAACAAAGAUUUAAUAGGGGACGGUUCAUUAAUAUCUAGAGUUUUGAUCUCUUCAAUCCCACUUUUACCAAUUUUUGCAUCAAGAUCUAAAAACUCCGAAUUUUUGGAACGCCUUCUAGGUAAAGGUGGAUCAUAUUCAGUCCCAUCAUUAUCAAGAUUCAUAUUGCAAAACAAAUAUUUAAUAGGGGACACAUGAAUAACUUUUAGAUCUUCAUCUUUAUUUUCAUAGAAACUAGAAGAACACGCUUUCACAAAGCAAUCUUUCUUAGCACGCAUCCUAGUGGUUCUUUCUUUGCACUCAUCAAUGGAAAUUCUCAUGGCUUUGAGAGACUCAUUGAUAUCAUGCUUAGGAGGAAUAGAUCUAAGUUUCUAAGAAUCAACAUCAAGAGAAAUUCUAUCAAUGUUCCUAGCCAAUUCUUCAACUUUAAGCAAUUUUUCUUCAAGCAAAGCAUUGAAAUUCUUUUGCGAAUUCAUAAACUCCUUAACACUAGUCUCAAAUUCAGAAGGCAUCUUAUUAAAAUUUCCAUAAUAAUUGUUGUAGGAAUUACCAUAAUUAUUAGAGUAAUUACUAGGAUACGGCCUAGGAUCAAAGUUUCCUCUAUACGCGUUGUUACCAAAAUUAUUCCUACCAACAAAAUUCACAUCCAUAGAUUCAUUAUUAUUCUCAAUCAAAGUAGACAAAGGCAUAUCAUUAGGAUCAGAAGAAACACUUUUAUUAGCAAAUAAUUUCAUAAGUUCAUCCAUCUUUCCACUCAAAACAUUAAUUUGUUCUACCGCAUGCACUUUUUUAUUAGUGGAUCUUUCAGUGUGCCAUUGAGAAUAAUUAACCAUAAUAUUAUCUAGGAGUUUAGUAGCUUUUCCUAAAGUGAUUUCCAUAAAAGUGCCUCCCGCGGCCGAAUCUAAAAGAUUUCUAGAAACAAAAUUCAAUCCGGCAUAAAAAAUUUGUAUAAUCAUCCACAAAUUCAAACCAUGUGUAGGGCAAUUGUGUAUCAUUAAUUUCAUCCUCUCCCAAGCUUGUACAACAUGUUCAUGAUCAAGUUGCUUAAAAUUCAUAAUAUCGUUUCUAAGAGAGAUGAUCUUAGAGGGAGGAAAAUACUUAGAGAUAAAAGCAUCUUUGCACUUAUUCUAAGAAUCAAUACUAUUUUUAGGCAAAGCCGAAAACCAAGCUUUAGCACGAUCUCUAAGCGAAAAAGGAAAUAGCUUCAAUUUAACAAUAUCAUUGUCCACAUCCUUCUUCUUUUGCAUAUCACACAAAUCAACGAAGCUAUUUAGAUGGGUAGCGGCAUCUUCACUAGGAAGGCCCGCGAAUUGAUCUUUCAUGACAAGAUUCAACAAAGCAGCAUUAAUUUCACAAGAUUCAGUAUUGGUAAGAGGAGCAAUGGAGUGCUAAGGAAAUCAUUGUUGUUGUUAUUGGUAAAGUCACACAAUUUGGUAUUAUCUUGAGCCAUCGUGACAAGCAAGCAAUCCAACACACGAGCAAACAAGAAGCAAGCGAAAAAGAGGCGAACGGAAAAGAGAGGGCGAAUAAAACGGCAAGGGUGAAGUGGGGGGGAGAAAAACGAGACGCAAAUGGCAAAUAAUGUAAUGCAGGAGAUAAGGGUUUGUGAUGGGUACUUGGUAUGUUGACUUUUGCGUAGACUCUCCGGCAACGGCGCGAGAAAUCCUUCUUGCUACCUCUUGAGCACUGCGUUGGUUUCCCUUGAAGAGGAAAGGGUGAUGCAGCAAAGUAGCGUAAGUAUUUCCCUCAGUUUUUGAGAACCAAGGUAUCAAUCCAGUAGGAGGCCACGCUCAAGUCCCUCGCACCUACACAAACAAAUAAAAACCUCGCAACCAACGCAAUAAAGGGGUUGUCAAUCCCUUCACGGUCACUUACGAGAGUGAGAUUUGAUAAGAUAAUAUUUUUGGUAUUUUUAUGAUAAAGAUGCAAAUUAAAAUAAAAGGCAAUAAAAAUAGCUAAGUGUUGGAAGAUUAAUAUGAUGGAAGAUAGACCCGAGGGCCAUAGGUUUCACUAGUGGCUUCUCUCGAGAGCAUAAGUAUUACGGUGGGUGAACAAAUUACUAUUGAGCAAUUGAUAGAAUUGAGCAUAGUUAUGAGAAUAUCUGGGUAUGAUCAUGUAUAUAGGCAUCACGUCCGCGACAAGUAGACCGACUCCUGCCUGCAUCUACUACUAUUACUCCACACAUCGACCGCUAUCCAGCAUGCAUCUAGAGUAUUAAGUUCGUAAGAACAGAGUAACGCUUUAAGUAAGAUGACAUGAUGUAGAGGGAUAAACUCAUACAAUAUGAGAUAAACCCCAUCUUGUUAUCCUCGAUGACAACAAUACAAUACGUGCCUUGCUGCCCCUACUGUCACUGGGAAAGGACACCGCAAGAUUGAACCCAAAGCUAAGCACUUCUCCCAUUGCAAGAAAGAUCAAUCUAGUAGGCCAAACCAUACUGAUAAUUCGAAGAGACUUGCAAAGAUAACCAAUCAUACAUAAAAUAAUUCAGAGAAAAUUCAAAUAUUGUUCAUAGAUAAACUUGAUCAUAAACCCACAAUUCAUCGGUCUCAACAAACACACCGCAAAAGAAGAUUACAUCGAAUAGAUGUCCACAAAAGAGGGGGAGAACAUUGUAUUGAGAUCCAAAAAGAGAGAAGAAGCCAUCUAGCUAAUAACUCUGGACCGGAAGGUCUGAGGUAAACUACUCACACAUCAUCGGAGAGGCUAUGGUGUUGAUGUAGAAGCCCUCUGUGAUCGAUGCCCCCUCCGGCGGAGCUCCGGAAAAGGCCCCAAGAUGGGAUCUCACGGGUACAGAAGGUUGCGGCGGUGGAAUUAGGUUUUUGGCUCCGUAUCUGGUAGUUUGGGGAUACGUAGGUAUAUAUAGGAGGAAGAAGUACGUCGGUGGAGCAACGUGGGGCCCACGAGGAUGGAGGGCGCGCCCAGGAGGGGUAGGCGCGCCCCCUACCUCGUGUCUUCCUGGUUGAUGUCUUGACGUAUGGUCCAAGUCCUCUGGAUCACGUUCAUUUCAAAAAUCAUGUUCCCGAAGGUUUCAUUCCGUUUGGACUCUGUUUGAUAUUCUUUUUUUGCGAAACUCUGAAAUAGGCAAAAAACAGCAAUUCUGGGCUGGGCCUCCGGUUAAUAGGUUAGUCCCAAAAAUAAUAUAAAAGUGUAUAAUAAAGCCCAUUAAUGUCCAAAACAGAAUAUAAUAUAGCAUGGAACAAUAAAAAAUUAUAGGUACGUUGGAGACGUAUCAACCACCCAAUGGCGACGUGGGCCCGUAAGACACACAACCAUGUUAGUAAAAGUUUUGUAGUGACUAGAUUCGACUUCGGCCAAGGAGUUGGAAGGGGGCUACCUACAGACAGUCGGCUCUGAUACCAACUUGUGACGCCCUCGAUUCAAUCGUACACUAAUCAUACACGCAAAUGCGUAUGAUCAAAAUCAAGGACUCACGGGAAGAUAUCACAACACAACUCUAGACACAAAUUAAAAUAAUACAAGCUUUAUAUUACAAGCCUGGGGCCUCGAGGGCUCGAAUACAUAAGCUCGAAUACACAAGAGUCAGCGGAAGCAACAAUAUCUGAGUACAGACAUAAGUUAGACAAGUUUGCCUUAAGAAGGCCAGCACAAAAGCAUCUACAAUCGAAAAGGCAAGGCCUCCUGCCUGGGAGCCUCCUAACUACUCCUGGUCGUCAGCGGUCUCCACGUAGUAGCAGGCAUCGGCGGUGGCAUCUGGCUCCUAGGCUCCGACAUCUGGUUGCAUCAACCGAAAACAAGAAGAAAGGGGGAAAAAGGGGAGCAAAGCAACCGUGGGUACUCAUCCAAAGUACUCGCAAGCAAGGAUCUACACUACAUAUGCAUCGGUAUCAAUGAAAUGGGCUAUAUCUGUGGACUGGACUGCAGAAUGCCAGAAGAGAAGGGGAAAGCCUAGCCUAUCGAAGACUAGCAUCUUCAAGCGUCUUGCAGCAUCAGAAGAGAUAAGAGUAGCAUAAAGUAAAGUAGUAGUAGUGUUAUCAACCUCGGCCAGAGAUCCCUUCUCGACUCCCUGCGAGAAAGCAAUCCCAGAGCCAUACUAUCCAAUUCUCAUCACAAGUAUCCAGUUCUAGUUGUAUCGAUCGGGAUACAACUCCAAGUGUUCGUUACCGUAGGACAGACUAUCGAUAGAUGUUUUCUUCCCUGCAGGGGUGCACCAACUUACCCACCACGCUCGAUUAACUCCGGCCGGACACACUUUCCUGGGUCAUGCCCGGCCUCGGCCAAACAAUACGCCGCAACCCGACCUAGGCUUAAUAGAGAGGUCAAGCACGCCGGACUAAACCUAUGCCCCCAGGGGUCAUGGGCCAUCGCCCCGGUAACUCCUACACGUUGCGAGGGCGGCCGGUGAGCAGACCUAGCUACCUCCUUAAAAAGGCAGGUGCUUACGCAGUCCAACCCGGCGCGCGCCGCUCAGUCGCUGACGUCUAUUAAGCUACGGCUGAUGCAUACGACACAGAACGCCCAUACUAUGCCCACGUGAUGGUUAGUGCUAUCAGGCCAGAGGCCCAUCGGAUCAAAUAUCCAAAUCGUAGCGGAUUAGGAACGCGCGGUAACAAGCAUAGACUUACGAAAGAUGUGACCCCGUCGCCCCGUCUCGAGGACAUGCGACAAGGGCUAAGAAUGCUCGGCCACGCCUUGUAAUUAUCUCGCGGGCACCCUCCAGGUCAACCCGACUCCUCAUCACUCGCAAAUAUGCUUGCGCGGGUACCCCUCAGGGCCGUCCCGUCUUUAGUAACAGGGUUCAGUGUAAAGUCAUAGUAACCAUAGUAACCGUGUGCCUAACACCAAGGGGAAAACCUGAGGAAUCACCCUUGACGGAUUCCACUCGAUGUAAUCAUCAAGGAGAACGUAAAAGGAUCCACCCUCGAGGUUCACACUUGAGGGGUUGCACGACAGAGUCGUAUCAGAAGUGGUUAAGAAGGAAAUCACCCUCGAUGACCACGACCGAAUAGCUACACUACAGAGAUCUCAUCAGGAGUGAUGUAUGAGGUUCCACCCUCGGCACUCGAUGGUAACUCUGUAGAGUCGAGCAACAAAAGGGGCGUGAUGUGAUGUGAGGUGUCGGGCUCUGGUCGUCGAUCACGCUGAUCAAGUCGUCGAUGACGAAGCAGGGGCAACAAGGACAACGUGGGGGUCACUGAUGGAUCACUAACCAACCUAUACUAAGCAGUUUAGGAUAAGCAGGUAAGGUACAAUAAGCAGGUUACAAAAGCAGGCUAUGCAUCAGAAUAGGGGCAAACAAUAACAGUAGCAAAAUCUAAUGCAAGUAUGAGAGAAUGGAAUGGGCGAUAUCGGAAUGAUCAAAGGGGGGGCUUGCCUGGAAGCUCUGCUGUAAAGUAAGAAGGGUCGUCGGAGACGUAGUCGAUCACAGGGGCAGCAUCGGUCUCGGGGUCUACCGAAGAGAAGAGGGGGAAGAAACAAUAAAUAUAAAGCAAACCAAGCAUCAUAAAGCUUAACAUGAUAAUACGCGGUGUUAGGGGUGAACUAACGCAGUGCUAGACUUAACAGACAAAGAGGGGAAACAUCCGAGGA